GAUGAAGAACGUAGCGAAAUGCGAUACUUGGUGUGAAUUGCAGAAUCCCGUGAACCAUCGAGUCUUUGAACGCAAGUUGCGCCCGAAGCCAUUAGGCCGAGGGCACGCCUGCCUGGGCGUCACACGUCGUUGCCCCCCCCAUCUACUCCUUCGGGAUUGCGGGAGGCGGAUGAUGGCCUCCCGUGCGCCUCGCCGCGCGGUUGGCAUAAAUGCCAAGUCCUCGGCGACGCACGCCACGACAAUCGGUGGUUGCGAAACCUCGGUUGCCCGUCGUGUGCGGUCGUCGCGCAUCGAGGGCUCGAAAAAAUUGCCGGGUUUUGGCUCGGCUUUCAACGCGACCCCAGGUCAGGCGGGGUUACCCGCUGAAUUUAAGCAUAUCAAUAAGCGGAGGA
Molecule: unclassified non-coding RNA, 392 nt
Filed under: soil metagenome
Description: partial contains 5.8S ribosomal RNA, internal transcribed spacer 2, and large subunit ribosomal RNA
Rfam family: 5.8S ribosomal RNA (bases 1-122)
Source: RNAcentral